CAUGACAUCACAGUGCCGCGAGAAUAGCCGUGCUUUUGAUCACUUUCGCGGUACUUUGAUGUCAUGCAGUACACCGAUUGUAAUCACCGCUUGUUGAUUACUGAGGAUUCGUCUGGAAACAGGGCAUCACAGAUCAAGCAAUAAUUGAUGGACACCCUGCAGUACUACUGUGGACCCUUGUUGAGGACGCCUGAUUUGCUGUUGCCAAGGAAAGCAAAAGAGACACCCCCUGUCAGUCAUUUAAAAGGAGCAUCGGAGCGGAUAUGGCCUUGAGGUGGCUGGGUUUGGGUGAAUUGGUGCCAGGUCGGUUCCCCUCACUCACCUUGUGCUAAGGCUCCCCAGUCAUGGAUCACAGCCCUGGAGAAGAAGCUAAUCUCUGUCCGGGAAACCACCCCAUUGUGUUUGUUACCUGGGAUCGUAACAAAAUGCUCCACCACUGAGCUGAGAUUCACAACAAAUACCUCCCUGACUGUUUGGGACUAUCUAGGCGACAUCUUAUCGCUGGUGACUCGACCUCUAAACACGUUGUCUCGAGGGGCUGUGGAGACAUGAUGAAUCACGAGGCAUGACAGGAUGUGCAAGAUUUGUUUGAAGUUUUAUCGUCCCACCGUACAACCAAUGUCUCUCCUAAUGGCCAACAAAUGAUCCCACCCACCUGUAAAUGUGAUAAUGAAGAAGCACAAUAAUACUUAAGCUAUUAUGAUAAUGGUUAUCUGCAAACGGUGGAGGGGUGUUAAAUUGUGGGUUUUAAGUUGAAAAUGUGGUUGGAGGGAGGCAGAGAAAGCCUUUCACACAGUGAUGUCAUGUGUCUGUUAAAAUGUUUUUCUUUUAAAAGUCUUAAAUCUCAAU
This is a non-coding RNA of Misgurnus anguillicaudatus (oriental weatherfish), 849 nucleotides long. The record is from RefSeq and is a predicted model, not a curated record. Lineage: Eukaryota; Metazoa; Chordata; Actinopteri; Cypriniformes; Cobitidae.